Molecule: ribosomal RNA, 430 nt
Filed under: uncultured Alphaproteobacteria bacterium
Lineage: Bacteria; Pseudomonadati; Pseudomonadota; Alphaproteobacteria
Description: bacterial SSU rRNA
Rfam family: Bacterial small subunit ribosomal RNA
Source: RNAcentral
AGCGAACGCUGGCGGCAGGCCUAACACAUGCAAGUCGAACGGUUCCUUCGGGGACAGUGGCAGACGGGUGAGUAACGCGUGGGAACGUGCCCUUCGGUUCGGAAUAACUCAGGGAAACUUGAGCUAAUACCGGAUACGUCCGAGAGGAGAAAGAUUUAUCGCCGAAGGAUCGGCCCGCGUCUGAUUAGCUAGUUGGUGGGGUAAUGGCCUACCAAGGCGACGAUCAGUAGCUGGUCUGAGAGGAUGAUCAGCCACACUGGGACUGAGACACGGCCCAGACUCCUACGGGAGGCAGCAGUGGGGAAUAUUGGACAAUGGGCGCAAGCCUGAUCCAGCCAUGCCGCGUGAGUGAUGAAGGCCCUAGGGUUGUAAAGCUCUUUUGUCCGGGACGAUAAUGACGGUACCGGAAGAAUAAGCCCCGGCUAACUUC